AUACUUACCUGGCAGGGGAGAUACCAUGAUCAUAAAGGUGAUUUUUCUGGGACAAGCCUUAUCCGUUGCACUCCAGAUGUGUUGACUCUUGCAAACUCCCUAGAUGGGGGAAACUCAACUGCACAAUUUGUGGUAGUGGGGGACUGCAUUUCUGCUUUUUUCUG
Molecule: small nuclear RNA, 164 nt
Organism: Tupaia belangeri (northern tree shrew)
Lineage: Eukaryota; Metazoa; Chordata; Mammalia; Scandentia; Tupaiidae
Gene: U1
Rfam family: U1 spliceosomal RNA
About the family: U1 is a small nuclear RNA (snRNA) component of the spliceosome (involved in pre-mRNA splicing). Its 5' end forms complementary base pairs with the 5' splice junction, thus defining the 5' donor site of an intron. There are significant differences in sequence and secondary structure between metazoan and yeast U1 snRNAs, the latter being much longer (568 nucleotides as compared to 164 nucleotides in human).
Source: Ensembl